Carassius carassius (crucian carp) is the source of this 672-nucleotide long non-coding RNA. RefSeq lists it as uncharacterized. The record is from RefSeq and is a predicted model, not a curated record. The transcript has 3 exons. Lineage: Eukaryota; Metazoa; Chordata; Actinopteri; Cypriniformes; Cyprinidae.
CAUAUACAUACAUAAUAUCAGAUUGUAGCCAUAUUUCUGCUAGAUUUUCUGCUAGAUUUCUGCUUUAAUUUGAUAAAACAAAUUAUUUAUGCCCUGCCCCUAUUUAAAUACACUCUCUCAAAUAUUUCUCAAAUGUCAGGCAGAUGACAAGCUCAACUGCUCAACAGCUAGAUGGUUAUCUGUCUGAAGUCCCCAUCCCCAGAAGUGAUAACAGUCUUGCCUACUGGAGAAAUAUUACAGUGCAAGACCACAGAGGACAUGGAAGACAUCAAAAGAGAACUGGGAGACUUUAUUGCUGAAUGUGGGAUCCCAAAUGUGUUCUCUGCAGCAGUGGCUGAUAUUCCAUCAAUUUAUGAACAAGUUAUCAGCCACUACUUGUAACACAGAUAAAGAGCUAGACAUUACCUUUGGAGAAAUUCUGAUCUUCGCAACGGGAGCUGAUUCUGUACCCCCUCUUGGUUUUCCACAAGAGUGUGAGAUCCAGUUCUACGAUCAAGAGCCAGGAAGCCGGCAGAUUCCAUACUCCUCAACCUGUGCCCUUGUUCUGUUUUUGCCAAGAGGUAUUACAGAAGAAGCUGAUUUUAAAGACCUCAUGCAGCUGGCCUUAAAAUGCUCUUUUGGAUUUGGAAAGGCUUAAUGGGUUAGUUCAUCAAAAAACUAAAAUUAUGUUAU